This 440-nucleotide ribosomal RNA is filed under the name uncultured bacterium. RNAcentral describes it as "partial 16S ribosomal RNA". It matches the Rfam family "Bacterial small subunit ribosomal RNA", at positions 338 to 795 of the family's 1533-position model. The record is from RNAcentral.
CCUACGGGGGGCAGCAGUGGGGAAUAUUGCACAAUGGGCGUAACCCUGAUGCAGCGACGCCGCGUGAGUGAAGAAGUAUCUCGGUACGUUAAGCUCUAUCAGCAGGGAAGAAAAUGACGGUACCUGACUAAGAAGCUCCGUAUAACUACGUGCCAGCAGCCGCGGUAAUACGUAGGGGGCAAGAGUUAUCCGGAUUUACUGGGUGUAAGGGGAGCGUAGACGGCAGGACAAGUCUGGAGUGAAAGCCCGGGGCUUAACCCCGGAACUGCUUUGGAAACUGUGCGGCUGGAGUGCAGGAGGGGUAAGCGGAAGUCGUAGUGUAGCGGUGAAAUGCGUAGAUAUUAGGAGGAACACCGGUGGCGAAGGCGGCAUACUGGACUGUAACUGACGUUGAGGCUCGAAAGCGUGGGGAGCAAACAGGAUUAGAUACCCUUGUAGUC